UAGGUUGUUGCGUGGUUGUGGAUGGAUCGUUCGAUGAAGCAAAUCCUACACAAUUGGUCGAUGAGAAACAAAUCCAACAUUCAGUUUUUAGCAACGGCGCAAGAAACGAAGAAACUUUUCAGUAGUUGUAAAUUUCUUAGGACAAAUGAGAAAUUACACUGGCAUGAAAUGUUAGAAAGAAAGGAAUUGAAAUGAAUCAAAAACGUAAAUAUUAAAGCGUUUAACUACAAAAUAAAAGAUUACCACCAAGUUGAAAGUUCUUUAGGACAAAUAAAAAAAACCGGCAUGUCAUUUUAUGAGGAAAGGAUAUAAAAUGAACCAGAAAUCAUUUAACCAAGAAACUAAAAAGGUUCCCACCUAAUUGAAAGUUCCUUAGGACAAAUGAGAAAUUAAAACAGCAUGUCAUUUUAUGAGGAAAGGAUGUAAAACGAAUCAGAAAUCAUUUAACCACAAAAUUAAAAAGCUUCCCACCAAAUUGAAAGUUCCUUAGGAUAAAAGAAAAAUUAAACUGGGAUGUUAUGUUAUGAGGAAAGGAAAUAAAUCAUAAGUGUAAAUAUAAAAGCAUUGGACUCGGAAAUUAAAAACAUUUCCAAUAAGGUGCAAGUUUUUAAGAACAAAUGAAUAAUUAAACUGUCAUAAAAUGUUAUGAAAGAAGGAAUUAAAAUGAAUCGGAAACCCAACUCUAAAAUUAUUGUUAAACGAGGGUUGAUGAAAUGAUGCAAUGACACAAAUAGACAACGGUUUAUUCGUGGACGGGGUAUCAACAGUACAAUUCAAGAGUUCGAAUAAAAAUGGCGUCUUUUUCGGCAUGUCCGCGUCUCACGCCCACCCAAAUAAU
This is a long non-coding RNA of Aethina tumida (small hive beetle), 838 nucleotides long. RefSeq lists it as uncharacterized. Lineage: Eukaryota; Metazoa; Arthropoda; Insecta; Coleoptera; Nitidulidae. The transcript is spliced from 7 exons. The record is from RefSeq and is a predicted model, not a curated record.